AAGGCUAAAUACUCCUGACUGACCGAUAGUGAACCAGUACCGUGAGGGAAAGGCGAAAAGAACCCCGGCGAGGGGAGUGAAAAAGAACCUGAAACCGUGUACGUACAAGCAGUGGGAGCACCCUUUGGGGUGUGACUGCGUACCUUUUGUAUAAUGGGUCAGCGACUUAUAUUCUGUAGCAAGGUUAACCGAAUAGGGGAGCCGGAGGGAAACCGAGUCUUAAUUGGGCGUUAAGUUGCAGGGUAUAGACCCGAAACCCGGUGAUCUAGCCAUGGGCAGGUUGAAGGUUGGGUAACACUAACUGGAGGACCGAACCGACUAAUGUUGAAAAAUUAGCGGAUGACCUGUGGCUGGGGGUGAAAGGCCAAUCAAACCGGGAGAUAGCUGGUUCUCCCCGAAAGCUAUUUAGGUAGCGCCUCGUGAAUUCAUCUCCGGGGGUAGAGCACUGUUUCGGCUAGGGGGCCAUCCCGGCUUACCAACCCGAUGCAAACUGCGAAUACCGGAGAAUGUUAUCACGGGAGACACACGGCGGGUGCUAACGUCCGUCGUGAAGAGGGAAACAACCCAGACCGCCAGCUAAGGUCCCAAAGUCAUGGUUAAGUGGGAAACGAUGUGGGAAGGCCCAGACAGCCAGGAUGUUGGCUUAGAAGCAGCCAUCAUUUAAAGAAAGCGUAAUAGCUCACUGGUCGAGUCGGCCUGCGCGGAAGAUGUAACGGGGCUAAACCAU
Molecule: ribosomal RNA, 727 nt
Filed under: Salmonella enterica
Lineage: Bacteria; Pseudomonadati; Pseudomonadota; Gammaproteobacteria; Enterobacterales; Enterobacteriaceae
Description: partial 23S ribosomal RNA
Rfam family: Bacterial large subunit ribosomal RNA
Source: RNAcentral